GUGGGGAAUUUUGGACAAUGGGCGAAAGCCUGAUCCAGCCAUUCCGCGUGAGUGAAGAAGGCCUUCGGGUUGUAAAGCUCUUUCGGCAGGAACGAAACGGUCUUUUCUAAUACAAGAGGCUAAUGACGGUACCUGAAGAAGAAGCACCGGCUAACUACGUGCCAGCAGCCGCGGUAAUACGUAGGGUGCGAGCGUUAAUCGGAAUUACUGGGCGUAAAGCGUGCGCAGGCGGUUAUGUAAGACAGGUGUGAAAUCCCCGGGCUUAACCUGGGAACUGCGCUUGUGACUGCAUAACUCGAGUGUGGCAGAGGGGGGUGGAAUUCCACGUGUAGCAGUGAAAUGCGUAGAGAUGUGGAGGAACACCGAUGGCGAAGGCAGCCCCCUGGGUCAACACUGACGCUCAUGCACGAAAGCGUGGGUAGCAAACAGGAUUAGAAACCCCGGUAGUCC
This 450-nucleotide ribosomal RNA is filed under the name uncultured bacterium. RNAcentral describes it as "bacterial SSU rRNA". It matches the Rfam family "Bacterial small subunit ribosomal RNA", at positions 354 to 796 of the family's 1533-position model. The record is from RNAcentral.